CCUGAGUGAGAAAAUAAAGAUGAUGAGAACUCUUGAAAGAUAGCACUUUAAAACUCUGAAAAGUCCACUAAGGGUGGAUAUGCAGAGUGAAGACGAUUGGAAUCAACUGGCAACCCAGGCAUGGGGACACAUACUGUAUUCCCAGUUAUAGAGCUGAGUGAGGCAGGGGGAUCACUAGGCCUGGUCAGACUUACCAAGGCCUUGUUUAAAAACAUAAAAUAAAUUAAUAUAAUAUAUUAAAUAUAUGAAUUUAGUUGUAGGAAGGAUAACACUUGAAUAACAUGUAUGGACAUGAUCUUGGGUUUGAUCUUCUAUUGAAAAAAUAAGAAAAAGAGAGGGAGGAAGGGAAGAAGAGAAGAGUGAGGAAAGGAGGGAGGUGAGAAGGGAGAGAAAUCCUGAGCAUCCGGACAGUCGUGCCAUUUUAGAAAUCGAAGGGGCAGGUGGUGGAGCCAGGCGUGGCAGUCGGCCCUAACAGGAUGUGUUGAAGGCACUGCCAGGACCCAGGGCAGCGCACUCUCAGAGGUUGCCGGAAGGGCAGGCUCACCACACUGGCCAUUUGGCAAGCCCCAUCUCUCCCCUUCUCUUCCCCACAGAGGGAAGAAUUCUAUCUAAGAGGUGGGUGAGAGUGUGGUUGCUUUUGGUGCAGAGGCACAGGAGGAAGGCAGUGGCUUUGUGGGGGCAUGGGGACUGGGCUCAUAUGGUGAAGGCUCCCCUACCCAGGCUCCGGGGUGAGAACUCCUCAGAAGUCAGGAGGAUCAUGGGCACAGCAAGAGCUUGGAGGGUGCAGAACAAAGUUCCCAAGGAGAGAGGAAGGCAGAGUCUGAAUGCAGUUGGGAAUGAGAUUAGGCCCUGCCAUAGCUCUCCUUUGUAGGGAAUGUGCGAUGUGGGUGGAUUCUGAGUCUCCCCACCCAAGGACUGGAGACGAGUGGAGUGGGGAGGAGCAAGAGGCCAGUUUGCACGGCUCCAUGGAACAUUGCUCAUGCAUGCUAACAGCCACUCCCCAAACACCAACGAGGACUAAAUACCGAGAUUACCACCCGGCCCACUGCUUGCUAUUUGUGGGUCCGUCUUUUGGAGCUCUUAGGAGGAAGUGUUACUUGUCUUAAGCUCACCCUACUUUACCUAUUUUACUUCCUAACUUAGUAAAGAACUGGUUUUAAAAAUUCAGAGGGUGUCAUAUUUAUUUUCUAUACAUCUCGUCACUUAGGAUGUAUGUUUGUAAACAAAUAUGUUCCAGUUUUUAGGAGACAUAUGGUUUCUAAGUUGUUUGACUUAAUAAGGUAACAGAAGUUCCGUGUUAAAUCUGCCUCUAAGGGCUGCACUCUGAACGACUUAAUUAGGGCUUCUAAGAGCAUCUAACUCCCGGGCAGAACUAGAUUCCUGUCUCUCUCUCCUCUACCUUCAGUUUCUUUGCAGAGAAGUCCUUGAAACCAGAACAGAUAAAGAGUUGCCCAUUCCUCUCCUCUCCUCUCCGUUCCUGGGAACACGCAGAAGGUCUAGUUUAUUUAAUUAUUCUCCAGAUCCCCCUCUGACAAAGCACAGGAGAAAUCUGGAGAGUGUGUGACAGUAUCCAGGAAUGGUAUCUGUCAUGUGGCUGUGGCCAGAUUAACCAAAGUCUUUUGGAGGCUCUUAAAACACAAACCCAAAACACACUUGCAAAGAGGACCGCAUCAGCAGGUCCCAGGGCCACCAUCUGCUGUCCUCUUCCAGUAGGUGUCUGAUGGUCACUUAACCUGGGAGAGCCAGAGCCCAGAGAGACUCCACUGCAGCCCCAGCUCUGCAGCAGGCUCUUGGUCUGUGGCAGCGGAGUACCGACAGCAUGUACCUCUGAGAUUAAAGCUCUCAGGAACACAUCACUGACACCCAGUGAGUAAUUCAAAGUGUUCUUUCCUGGCACUGUGGCCAUGGGAUUAGCAGCAGUCUGCUUUCACUGGACUGUGUCCUUCCCCCUGCCACACACACACACACACACACACACACAGGUAUGAAGGGAUAAGAACAGCUCAGCCAGUGAAGUGUCAGCCCAGCCACACUUCUCCUGCAUGGCAUCAGUCCUCGUGUGUUAGACCUCAUAACCUGUACACUGGACAGUUGGAGAUGCUUGAGCGAGGGCUUUGUCUAUGGCUCUCAUUAGAGAUAGCUGUUGAAGAGGGUAGGGACAGCCGGUGAUGCUCUAAUGCUUCUCCAGCUGUGGUGUCCACGUGGUAAGAUGGUGCUAACAACAAGGGCGGGGAGAUGCCCUGUAGUACCCCCCUGAAGCUCCCCUUCCCAUGGUGAUGUCAGCACUGUGGCUGUUCAUUGUUGCUGGUGCUUGUUUUUCUUCUCAUAGCAUUAAAUAUGGGUUUGCGUUGAGGGGCUGGAAGAUCAAAUGAGCUGUCUGGCACCUUCCUUUUCCAUGUUUGAAAAGCCAAAUGUCCAUUUCUGGGACCCAUCCAGCCUGCGGCUUCCUUCCUACUGCAUUUUGCUCCAUUCUAACAGAGCAGUGACUGGAGGUUGCUGAAGAGCUGGGCAUAGAGGGCUUGGGUCUGUGCGGCUCUGAGAUGACUGUGCUCGAAUACAUGACUUGGUAUAUAGCUACUUUUGGAAAGAGGCGUUGUCAUGGGAUUACCAGUGGCCUUCUAGAAGCUUUGUUGUAUGGUGCUCAUGUGAGAGGACUCCCCCGUGAUGCUCACGUGCCCUAUGAGCCAAGUCUGUGUGCAUCCCCAUCACAAUCAUCUGAUUCAUCCUCACUGCAGGGAAUGCUCACUUGACAGGCUCCUUCAGGGGAGGCCCUGGAGCCCUCACAGGCCAGACAGCUGCACACCACAAAGAUAUCUGAUCCCAGGCUAUGGGAUAUGAGAUAAGUUUAUACUAGACAAGGAAGAUAGAUUGAAUGAAGUUGUCUUAUUUAAGUUUCUACCCUGUGCAAAGUUGAAUUAUGCCACUAUUCUCAACUCUUUUUCAACCAGGGUAGCUCCUGUAUAAGCAAAAAAAAAAAACUUUGCAACUAAGAAGUAUGAAGGACCCUGUCUUCAAAAACCCCUGUGUGAGUCUUGGUGGUGAAGGAUCCUCCCCUGCCAAGUUGUAAAACCUCCCAUGACAGCUCUCAUCCAGGAACCAUACCCUGGUUCACCAGACCCUGGAAGCAUCUAUCCAUUGGGCUUCAAAAAUGUUGCUUAAAGAACACAAUGGAAAUUUCUCUGAACCCAAGAACUAGGAAAUGUCCCACUUUCUGGAUCAAAAUCAUGAAACUGAAGUAUCAUCAGCACCAACCUGAAAAAUGUCUGUCCCCAUCCACACUCAAUUAAGUAGGCGUUCCUAGAAGCAAAUGAAUGCUUGAAGUGCAAGUUGAGGUUCACCAAACUCCAUGAAAAGCCUCUGGUCAGUUAAGAUGAUUUUUGAAGACCAAGUAUGAUAAAAACCCUGUGUGUGCUACGAAGCACUGUGUGCAGCCUAUUCUCCCCUUCUUUUCCAUUCCUUGGAUAAGAGCCUGUCACGGUGAUGCCAAGGCCCUGGUUUGAGAAUACUUCUUACCUCUUGCUAAUAUUCCACUUCCUUUGAUUUUCAAAUCUCAUUCAUCAUGUCUACCAUGGAUAUAUCAAGCUAUGGGGUGGAGGGGGGAGGGCUAUGCUUCUGGUAAGAACACAAAAUGUUUCAAGUAUAAAUAAGAAUAUUUAGAUAAAAGCCAUAAAAAUCAGACAGACAGAGGUUCCUUGAAUUCAGCAGAUAUUUCUGACUUUCUGAACAUUUAUAGUCUUCAUCUUCAUCAUAGUAUUUUUAAAAUGCACUCAUUUUCAAACUCUAUUAGCAUAUAAUUAUUAAACAAAAAAACAGACAAUAUAUAUUUAUUCAGUUUUCUGAGCUAUGUGUCCACUCCUGUUAUCACUGAAAUGAAGACAAUAAAUAGAUCCAUCAUCUCCAAAGCCCACCACUCUUCUGCAUGCUUGAUGAGUUUUCAUAUAAAGAGAAACCAUGGAGUGAUUUGUCUGUGAUUGACUUACACGCUGGCAUAAUAUCGUCCAGUCCAUCCUUCUUGUCAAGGUUGAUAGGGUUUCCUUUUCUUUUGAGGCAGAUUCAUAUUGCACAUAUGAAUCAUGUUUUCUCACCCAUUUGUUUUUCAGUACACAAUGAGUUGUUUCCAUAUCUUGGCCACUGUGAGCCAAUACAGAACACAAAGGAUCUUGCUUCUCAGGAUUCUAGCCUCAAAUCUUCAGGAUUCAAAUGUCCAUGGGUAGCACCACUAACCCACAUGAUGGCUUCGUUUUGAUUAUCUUUUGUAACUUCUAUUGAGCGUUUUAUUGGCUUUCCAGUGUCAAUCUGUCUAAAGGAUAUACAUUCACCAGAACCCCCUUAACUCUUUACUCUCCCCUCCCCCAUACAAGUGAUCGAGAUUCUUCUGGCAGGUGUAAGACCAGAGCUCAUGGUGGUUUAGAUUCACAUGUUUCUGGUGACGAAUGGUAUUAAGCAUUGUAUCAUAUGCAUUUGGUCAUUUGUAUGUCUUUUAGGGGUAGAUUUCUAUCUAUGCUCACAUUUUAAUUGGGUUAUUGAGGGGGGUUACUAUUAAAUUACAGAGGGUUGUGCAUGGCUGAUACAAUGGGCUCCUAUAUCAAUCAUCAAUGAAGAAAAUGCCCUACAGACUUGCCUACAGGGCGCUCCUAUAGAGGUGUUUUCUUCAUUAAGAUUCUGUCUUAGGGUUUUACUGCUGUUAAGAGAAAACAUGACCACAGCAACUCUUAUAAAGGAAAAUAUUUAAUUGGGGCUAACAGUUCAGCAGUUAAUAAUUGUCAUCAUAGCAGAAAGCAUGGAGGCACACAAGUAGACGUGAUGCUGAGAAAAGAGCCAAGCGUUCUACGCCACCAUCCAGACGGAUAGGCAGCAGGAGCAGAAAGCUACUAGGCCUGGCUUGAGAAUCUGAAAAACCCAUCCCAGUUGCCACUUCCUCCAACAAGGCCACUCCUCCUAAUAGUGCUACUCCCUGGGCCUAUGGGGACCAUUUACCUUCAAACCACCACAGAUUCCUUCCUCCCCGAUGACCCUCCCUUGUGUUCACAUAAGAACUAGCCAGGGCAGAGAGAGAUGCCGGUCCCCUAAAGUAGCUAGCGCCCAGCAUCUCCCCAGAAAUGGGACACUGAAGAAAGAAACCAAAUGACGACUGAGGCUCAUAUUGUGUUGGGGUGGAGCUGGAAGAGGCUCUGGUACUCUGAGCUUCAUUCUGUUCUGCUGGAGUGCUGCUCUGUGAUUCUUCAUAUAGUUGCUAAUAUUUAAAGACUCUUAUUCUGACACUAAAAAACGAACUCCCUUUGUGUGUAGGCAGAGUAUGAACUUCUUAGAUAUGUAGUCUACAUACCUUAUAGUUUUAUAAAAAAAACAUUAAAGAAUUAUUUUAGAAUGAUAAAAGAAGAAGAGAAAUCAGAAGUGCAGGAAGGGAAAGUAUUUGCCCUCCACUAAGCAAUGUGGAACUGAAAGAUAAGUCAGUAGAAACAGGGGGAAGCUCAGAAACAAAUGUGUGUGAAAAACUAAAGAUUAAAUAAAUGUGAAUUUUUUUCUAAUCAAAAGAACUAAAUUGUCUGAUAGGCAGGAUGAGGUUAAUCAUCUUUCCAUUUGGGAGAAAAUAUAGUCAGGGUGUGUAUUCUCGUGUGCUUUUCAAGAGGUUUAAUGAUCUACAUGUGAAAUAGUAAAACUAUAAAUGUGCUAGAAGAAAAUGCAUGGUCAUUUUUAUUGGAUGGAUGCUGUCAGGAUGAGGGAGGCAUUCUUAGUCACAACACAAAACAGCAAAGAAAAGAAACCCAUGAAUCUGACUGUACAGAAUGAAACACUGGUGUACAGGGAAACUCAAUAUAGAGUUGCCUGUCACGUGGGAAUGGGAACAGUAAUGGGGCUAGAGCCCCAGCCGUAAACAAGAUGAAGAUGAACCAUGUUAGAAUGUGCAAUAAGACAAAUUCUGGGGUUCAGAGUAAUAAUCCAAAAGGUGGAGCUGGCCAUUCUGUCUUUCCCUUGCCUCUCCCCCAGGGCUGUAUUUAAAUCUGUGUUAAAGCUAUUUCUUAAUAAACUCCAAAUUUGUUUCAUGAAAGAGUAGGGAUAAUCAGCUCCAUUGGUAAAGUAAUAAGUCACAAUGCGUUGUCUAUGGCCCUGCAGUUUCAUGGACCUCCACAGAAGUGGACAUUCUUAUUAAGAGCUAAUGAGAAGGUGAAUGAACACAGUAUUUAAAGAUACACAGUAUCUCUCCAGUGUGGGUCCAGUCAAGCCUUUGGCUCUUUCCUACAGAAGAAACUGUACCCCAGAGAUAGCAGCAGUGAUGCUGAAAUAAAGAUUCCUUAAUCUUCUAAACGCUCCUCGAUAGCAGAUUGGAUACUGCAGGGUUUUAAUGAAAUGAUGCAUAUGUUCUUCCUUGGAAAACAGAACCACAGUAAGAUGAAACAAGUACACAUGUACACACACACACACACACACACACACACACACACACAUGCACGUGUGUCCUAGUAACCCACUAGGAAAAGACUGGAAGAGCAGAUAGAUACCUAACUGCAGAGUCUUGUAAAAGCUUUUGCAACUCCUGUGUGUUUGGGGCCUGGUAUGUGUAUGCGUGAGUACAAGUGUCUGCAGCUCAGAAGCCACCCUCUGAUCCCCUGCGCCUGGGUUCUGGGAACUAAACUUUGGUUCUCUGCAAGGGCAAUGUAUACUCUUAACUACUGAGCCAUCUCUCCAUCCCUCUGUGAAGGAAGCCAUUGAGGGGUAGAGAAUUCUAGGAUUAGAGAUUAUUUCAAACAAAGUACUCUAUGGUGUACAUGAAUAGCAACAUCACACAGUAGCCAUAAAUAUGCACAAUUUUGCCAGGCAGUUGUGGUGCACAUAUUUAAUCCUGGCACUUGAGAUGAAGAGGCCAGCAGAUCUCUGAGAUCAAAUCCUGUCUAGUCUAUGGAGCAAAUUCACGGGCAGCCAGGACUACCCAGAGAGACCCUCUCUCAAAAGAUAUAAACACACAAAAAAAUGUACAAUCUUUUAGAGUGAACUAAAUUGGUGAGGGUUUUUUUUAAUUCAUUAAUUAUUUGGAAAUUUUACACAGUGUAUUUUGAUCAUAUUCAUUUUCCACUUCAUCCCUUAACUCCUCCCACUUCACCCCUUAACUCCUCCCACUUGUCCCUUAACCCCUCCCACAUUGUCCCAUAACCCAUUCCACAUGCACACCUACCCACCUACACCACAAACUCCAUAUCUUCUUUUUUUAUAUGUUCUUGAGAACUUCCCAUCUUAAUACUGUAUUUCCAUCAUUCUCCUCCUCCCUCUCCUUCCAGCUUCCCAUCUCACCCCUUCUCAAACCCAUGGCCUUGUAUCCUUCCGUUUAUAACUGUUAUCACACAAUCUCCUGCUGAACACUGGAGACUGGCUAACCUAUCAAGAAGCUCUGCCCUGGGGAAGACUGAUUCUUUCUGUCUCAACAACCAUCCAUUGUCUGUGGCCCUUCUUCUAGGUGUGAGAAUGCCCCAUCCACACUGGCAUGUCAAUUAAUGAUAUCCUCUUUCAGAGCGUGUCUAGGAAGCCAUAUUGUUGAUAUCCUGGGUGCAAACUCCUUGUCAUAUACAGAAGACAUCCCACAACAGACAUCCCUUCCUGGUGGGCUGGCUCUUACAAUCCUUCUGCCCCCUCUUCUGUAAUUUUCCCAAAGCCUUAGUGCAGAUGUAUCCACCUGGACUGGGCACCUCACACUCACUUGUUCUCUGCAUUUGUACCCAUUGUGGGAUUUUUUUUAUAGUCGUCUCUGUCUACAGCAAAACAAAAAUUAAAAAAAAAAAAAGGCGCUUCUUCAGUGAUAGGUGAGAGAUAGGUAUUAGAAUAUAGUUAGAAACCACACUGAUUAGAAACAUGACAGUAGUAAGUUGUAUUCUAGGGUCCAUGACCUCACCGACCAUCAGUAGUAGGCUAAGUUUAUAGUACCAGGUAUGAAUUCCCUCCUUUCAAGUGGCUUCAAGUGCAGUCACCCCAGGACAUUGGGUCACUCUUGCCAUUCUAGUCAUAGCUGUUGUUCUUGGGUAUCGCCAUUACCACUAGAUAAGACAAUUGUUUUCCCCCUCAGCAGCUUGCAAGGCUCCCUCCAGUACUAUAGGGUAGCCCUUAGGGAGACGGUUUCCAAGUCUAUGUCUUCUUCUUUUUGAAAAUACCACACAUCUAGUCUGUGCUGCCCAUAUGCUCCUGGAUGUGGGUCCAUCAAUGAAGCAUGGUCAACCCACCAGGGACCUAACCAUUAAAAAACAAAAAACCUUAGAGCCGGGUGGUGGUGGUACACGCCUUUAAUCCCAGCACUUGAGAGACAGAGGCAGGCAGACUUCUGAGUGGACAGCCUGGUCUACAGAGUGAUUUCCAGGACAGCCAGGGCUAUACAGAGAAACCCUGUCAUGGAAAAAAACCAAAAAAACAAAAACAAAACAAACUUACCACCCCUCCCUCCCUCAGAAGCCGGUAACUAACUGUCCAUAGCUACUCAGCCAGUAGUAAAUGCUCAGAAACCGCUCCCCCCUUCAGGCUAAGAUACUUACUGACUUGAUCUUAUGUAGGUCUUAUGUAGGCAGCAGUAGUUGCCUGUAACCAUUCUGUCAUGUGCAGGAGAUACUGUUCAUAUUGAUCCUCCAAGAACUCUGACACUAACAAUCUUUCCUUCCCCUCUUCCAAGAUGGUCCCUACACCUUUGGGGUGAGGUUGGAAUAAAUGUCCUAUUUAUGGCUGAGUAUUCUAGUGACAUUUAUUCUCUUCACUUUGUCCAGGUUCACCCUUAGGGCCCAUGAGGUCCCCCACUGUGGGUUCAUAUCCCAUCCCAAGGCUCAGAGGCCAUUUUGGAAGAUAGGAAGACUGUAGACACCAGAGGUCAUGGAGGGCUCAGUGAAACAGUGCCAUCUGAACACGACAGACUUACAGUAUAGACAUGUUGCCUCAUGCAUAGUGGGCCUUACGUCCAAUCAGUAAGCUGCUGGUUACCCACCUAAUAUCCACACCACUGUUAUAGCAAUGGGCAUAUAUUUCCACUCCAGUCAUUACUGCAUUUAACAAAGUUCACAGUUGGAUGAUGUUGCUAGUGAUAACCCCAUUGUCCCCCAGCAGCUGACAUAGCUACUUCUAGUGCAAUGAAAGCUGGCCAUCAGAAAGGAAGCUUCAUAGUCAAUAUCAAUUUGAUUUCUUUCAUAUCCUAUACUCAAUGUGUGUGAUGUCUUCAGAAACGAGGUCUUAUCAACGUUCUUUUGAGCAAUUAAGAAUAAUGUCAAUAACCUCUAUUGUUUGGAGGCUCCUGAUCACCUACUCCAGAAGAGAUAUCCCAUAUCUGGCACUGGUCUUUAAUUUGGCAACCUGCUACUUCUAGGAUGAGCAUAAUUCCUUGUUUAGGUUAACUCUGAUUAAACUCUUGUAUAUGAAUAUGAAAGCUAAUGUUUUAAAACUCUAUGCCAAAUAACAAUUUCGUUUACAACAGGAUAUCAAUACAAUGGUGUUAUACGUCUCUCAGGAACAAAGACAAAGGACAUCUCACUAGCCCCAAGAUAAGCUUGACACCUCCCAAUGGGUGGCUGGCCUCCACACAGCACCCCAGAACCACCACAGGGACACCCACUGAAUCCACCUCUCCCCUCUAGAUAACCCUCUCCUCCUUCCACUUCUGUUCAUGUUACAGAACUAAUUUCUAUGACAUUUUAUUUUCAUGCAGCUUUGAAACCAAGAAUGUCUUGAGUAUUUAUGAGGCAUUUACAAAAAGAACAGAGUGAACGCAGUUUAGACAGGUCACAAUAAUUCUCCCGAUCUCUCUGACACCCAGUGUCUCAGGCUUCACCUUCCUUCCACAUCUCCUCAAUUAAAUUAAAAUAUGGCAUAGUAAGUCAUGGCGAAAGAUUCUAAAAGGGCACUGCAGAGGUGAAAGUAAAAUAACCUCUGAAAAAAACAUUCCUGUUAUCAGCAAAUAUGUUCAGAUUUUGUUGAGAUUAAAAAAAAAAAAAUCCAGGAUAACUAUCAAGGCAAGAUGAGGCUGGAGAGAUGGCUCAUGAGUAAUGUGCUUGCCACUCAGGCUUGAGGACUUGAAUUUGCAUCCACAGAACCCAGGUAAAGCAAAAGCAGAAGUUUAUGUCUGUAAUUGAGCACCCCUGAGAGAUGGGAGGCAGGAACAGGAGAAUCCCUAAAGCCCAUGGGCCAACUAGGCUGGUGGAGUAAAUAGCAAAGCACAAAAGACUCUGUAGCAAAUGAGGCAAGAAGAGCAUAUGCCUGAGAUUGUCCUGUGACCUCCACACAUGUGCUGUGGCAAACACACUCCCCACAAACACCCCCCCACACACACACACAUAUAUACUACACAGAUGCACACAAACACAUAUACACACAUGUGCUACAUAAACAUGUAAACACAUGUGCCACACACAUAUACACACAAACAUACAUGCAUACACAUCCAUACACACAUACCACAAACCUAUACAUACAUAUAGAUACAACACACACAUAUAUAUAUACACACCACACAUGGACACACACACACCAUAUGGGCACACACUCGAACACACACACACACACACAUACAUACACACACACAUACAAAUACUUUGUUUUAUUUUUAAUGACGGACCCAGUGUUCUAGUUUGGUUUCUAUUGCUGUCAUAAAUACCAUGCCCAACAGCGACUUAGGGCAGAAAGGGUAUACUUCAUCUUACAGUUUACAGUCUAGGGAAUCAGGGCAGGAACUCAAGGCAGGAACUGGAAUAGAAAUUGCAGAUGUGUGCUGCUUGCUCCCUGUGGAUGCUUAGACUGCUUUCUCAUACAACCUGGAACCACUGCCCAGGAGUCUCACAUGCUUGCCUGUGGGUCAAUCUGAUGGGGCCCUUUUCUCAAUGGAGGUUCCCUCUUCCCAGAUGACCCUAAAUCAUGUCAGUUUGACACAGUAACUAGCGCUCAGGCAGAAAAGAGGAAGGGGAAGGAGGGUGCUGCUGAGUGAUUCCCCUUGGCUCACAGGGAUGCUUCACCAUUUGCCAGCACCACUCCAGGACCAUGGGCACAACAGGGGUGUGCUGGAGUUGAUCCCCUCCUCACCCCAACUCUUCAGUCUAAGAGGCUGUGCUGAGGGCUGCUGAGGCAUGGGCCUCCGUGGAUCUUUCCUUUGCUUUUGAGACACUCCAACACAGUAACACACAGUGUGUGAAAUGGUGGGCACCAUCUCCAACAUCGCUGUCAAAACUCUGGGCUUUCCUUUCUGUGACUCUGGGAUUAGCUGUGAUGUUUACGAGACAGAAGGCUCAGCCAUACCCAGAAAAGCAUGCAGACUCUCCCUGAGACAUGAGAAACACUGUCCCUAGAGCUGGCAGACAUCAGACAGUCCUGGCCUGGGUUGUGCCCUGUCCCUUACAUACCAUGUUUCCAAAACCAGGGCGCACACUGCCUCUGAAGUGCACAGCCAGAAGCCUUUGAGGUAAUGGACCUGUGGAAGUACCGUGAACUGUCUGGACAGAAGUCCAGUGUGCAGCGUUCAUGUGUCUCAGUGUCUCUAUUAUCCAUUGUGUAAUAUGAAGAUGAGAAUACGCACCACAUGUUUUAUUUUUAAUAUUCCUUUGUUCCUUGAUUGUGGUUUAUUAUUUCCCAAAGAGCUUUGAAAUUUCCCAUUUCCAGGAGGUUUCAGAAUUUAAAGUGUAAUCAUUUUUAAAAUACCAAAAUGGGUAAGAUUAUCUGAAGACCGUGGUUCUCUCUGCUCAGGAAAGCCACUUAACGGAUGAAAUUGAGGAGGGAAAGCAAAAGCUUCGUUCUCGGGAUGUUAAUCUAGGCUUCCUAUGGAAAGAGCUAAGAAAUUACCCUGCACUGUAAAUGGAGAGUGAGUUUAAACAUCAACGUAAAGAGUCAUAAUUUAGUUCUAGUCGGGAGUAGCUGAGCGAGGGAAAACUUGAUUACUUAGAGGCAUUAAGCAUAUUAGAAGGAAUACAAAUGUCUCCAGCCUGGGCAGCUGCUGCAGUCCGGCCUCUUCAAGCCCACUGCUUUGAAGAGAACCGAUAGGCUCUGCUAUGACUCCCCAUCAGGAAGAAAAUGAAUUUAGGGUGCCAUUGUCAUUCCUCUUGUCCAUAGGCUGAGCCUUUUAAAACAUCGAGCCACACUCAUGCAAGUUCGCUAACUUAAUUUACUGCUGAAAUGGAAGCUAAAGUGGUUAGGGCUGUGAUGCUUGUCUCUGAGGCUUUCAAACUCGGGUAGCUUGCUCACAUGGACUAUGAAAGACACAGCUAAUGCCCUUACCAGAGUAGCCAUGGACACUACCUGAGAUGCCAUUUAAUAAAACUGUGUGCCCAUGACACAGCAUGACUUUGCCCAACUGGACACCAUGGGAAACAUGCAUCUAAAUAAAGAUAUGGAAUACAUUUAAUUCAGAGAAUCUGUGUGUGUGUGUGUGUGUGUGUACACAUGUCUGUGUGUGUGUGUGUGUGUGUGUGUGUGUGUGUGUGUUUAACUUCCAGUAGCAAUCACUCUUUUGAAAAACUUCUAAGGAAAUUAUAAUAAAAACCAGCAAUGAUAAAAUGUGAUAGACAUCACUCAUAACAUCUGUUGUUUCGCUAGGAACCUAGGUGGUAUAUUAAAUGUUAUGCAGAAGAGAAUAUUCUAAGGAUGAUCCCCACUAUUGUGGAAAACACCUGACAUCUAUGGGUGGUUGUGGUAGCUCAGAAAGGAGUACGUUAGCAUCAGAGUGCUGGGCUGUAGGCGGGCAUCUGGGGGUCCACCGUAUCCCUUGGAUGAGAGCCUGAGGAAAGCAAGGAAGGCUUGGGGAUCUUACCAGGUUCCCCAAGUGCACUCAGAUUUUACACAAGAGCUUUGUGUAUGGAGGGAUGGAUAUAGGUGGUACUUUGUGUGUGUGUGUGUGUGUGUGUGUGUGUGUGUGUGUGUGUGUGUGUGUGUGUGCAUGUGCCUGUGUGCAUGUGUGCUUACAAAGUGUGGGGGCUAGAGGUCAGUCUAAGUAAGUGUCUUUCCUCAGUAACCAUCCAUCUGACUUUGGAGGAGGGAGGGAAAGAGUCUCUCACUGGGACCUGAGGUUCAGCACUCUGGCUAGGCAGGCUGGUCAUGGAUUCACUGGUCUCCACUUCCCCAACAAUGAUUCCAAGCCCAAGGACCAUAUCUAGUGCUUGCAUGCAUGCUGAGGAUCAAACUCUCCAGCCCCAGGAACUUCUUCUAUCUUGAGAUUAUAUAUGUUGUAAUCUUUAUGUACUUGCAUUUCUUGGGAGUCUAGCUCAGAAGUGAUAUAUAUGUGCAUACAUACAUAGGGAUGAGCAAAGGGAUGGAGAAGAGAUUCUGUGUCUCUCUCCACAGGGCAUGCACACCAGAGUCAUGGCUCACCAUUCACAACUGUAUUGCUUAUAUGUUACCUACUCUAAAGAGAGUAUGCACCUCAGUGUGUGACCGCUAAGUGUUCUCAUGCACGUUAGGGGUUGUACUUCCUCUGUGUUCAGAUCUUAGAAAUUAAUCAAUGCUAUCACAGCAGGGAGUCUUAAAUAGUAGCAUGAACUCGACUCUUACUGUCUGUGCCCUCUGAGUUGAGGUCAUCCAUCCUCACUGUGCCUCCAUUUCUUCUUCUAAAAUGUAGGGGAAAUGGGUUUCUGAAAACUACAGGGGUUUGUUCUUUCAAAAAAAAAAAACAACCUCAAAAUAAGGGCUUAACAAAAGGUAAAUGCUCACUAAAAUAGAUCAACAGGUAGAGAUAGAUAGAUAGAUAGAUAGAUAGAUAGAUAGAUAGAUAGAUAGAUAGAUAGAUAGAUAGAUGGUGAAACAUUCUAGAAAAAGGAAACAACAAAGAGAGUGAUAAGACAGUUAGAACAGUCUUGAGUAGACACUGGAUCCAGGCAUGAGUGUAUGUGCUUCUCAAAGCUCUUGAGGAAUCUUGGAAUAAUUAAAAGGAGAAAUGCAAAGGACUUAAUGGGUGAUAUCUCAAAAGGAGAGCUAGAAAAUGGUGAAACUAUGCAGUCUAUACAGACAAAAGUCUGUGGUUCUGUAUGCAUGUGCCUCUCUGAGAUAAAAACAGAUGCAAUUAAGAGUUUGUAAGAGCAGAGGUGGCCAAACAUAGGAAGUAAAAUCUGACAUGGUGCCCAAGUGACCUGUGCCGCCUGGUCUCAUUGGGCCCACAUCUGGCCAUUUACCUACCUCCUUUUAUCUAGAGAUCAAGGCACUAACCAUACCUUCCCCUUCUUCCUCCUCCAAGCCUUUGUUUUCUGUUCCUCCCCUUUUUUGCUGGUAUCUAUCUGCAGGUUUGGCAUCCUUUAACCUCCACUGUUUUUUUAUUGGAUAUUCUAUUUAUUUACAUUUCAAAUGUUAUCCGCUUUCCCAGUUUCCCCUCUGGAAACCCCCCACCCUAUCCCCCUCCCCCUGUUUCUGUGAGGGUGCUCCCUCAUCCACCCACCUACUCCUGCCUCCCUGUGCUUGCAUUCCCCUACACUGAGGCAUUGAGCCUGCAUAGGACCAAGGGCCUCUCCUCCUGUUGAUGCCUGACAAGGCCAUUCUCUGCUACAUAUGCAGCUGGAACCAUGGGUCCCUCCAUGUGUACUCUUUGGUUAGUGAGUUUAGUCCCUGGGAACUCUCGGGGGGUCUGGUUGGUUGAUAUUGUUGUUAUUCCUAUGAGUUGUAAACCCCUUCGCUCCUUCAGUCCAUUCCCUAACUCCUCUAUUGGGGUCCCCAUGCUCAGUCCAAUGGUUGUCUGUGAGCAUCCACCUCUGUAUUUGUCAGGCUCUGUCAGAGUCUUUCAGGAGACAGCCAUAUCAGGCUCCUGUCAGCAAGCACUUCUUGGCAUCCACAAUAGUGUCUGGGUUUGGUAUCUGUAUAUGGGAUGGACCCCCAGGUGGGGCAGUCUCUGGAUGGCCUUUCCUUGAGUCUCUGCUCCUGUGAGUAAUUUGUUCCCCCUUCUAAGAAGGACUGAAGCAUCCAUACUCUGGUCUUUCUGCUUCUUGAGCUUCAUAUGGUCUGUGAAUUGUAUCUUGAGUAUUCUGAGCUUUGGGGCUAAUAUCCACUUAUUAGUGAGUGUCUAUCAUAUGUGUUCUUUUGUGACUGGGUUACCUCACUCAGGAUGAUAUUUUCUAGUUCCAUCCAUUUGCCUAAGAGUUUCAUGAAGUCAUUGUUUUUUUUAAUAGCUGAGUAGUACUCCACUGUGUAAAUUCUGUAUCCAUUCCUCUGUUGAAGGACAUCUGUGUUCUUUCCGGCUUCUGGCUAUUAUAAAUAAGACUGCUAUGAACGUAGUGGAGCUUGUGUCCUUGUUACAUGUUGGAGUAUCUUUUGGGUAUAUGCCCAGGAGUGAUUCAGCUGGGUCCUCAGGUAGUACUAUGUCUAAUUGUCUGAGAAACUGCCAGACUGAUUUUUAGAGUUAACCUAUACUAUCUUAAUAGCUCCUACCCAGUCUUCAACAGCACCUUACAAGUCCUGAUCACUCCACUGCUUUUCUGCUUAAAACUCUUUUAUGACCGACACACACACACACGUAAGACCUUCAUGCUUGUGUAAUGUUUGAAGCCGUCCCCAGCAUAGGCUCCCACCUCACUACCCAGUGGAUCCUGCAACUAAAAUUCUGUCUGGUUUUGGUAGAAGCAGCGUGGGAAAGUCCACACAUGAGAAACACUGCAGCACUGCACACAUCCUCAAUUGAGAAGGGCAAUCACCCCAACAUGUGACAGUAUUUGGAGGUGGGGUGCAGAGAUAUAGUCAAUUAGGGUAGGAUUAUAGUAGGUGGGCAGUCCCCUAACCCAGUGGGACAGGCAUCCUUCUGAGAAGAGGAGACACAUGGGACAGGACUCAGAGAGGAAAUAGACAGACUGCAUUGAUGAAUCUUCAGGACAAGGAUGGGGGUGACUCUAGAAAACUGAUACAGUGAAGUGGAUCAUCCUGCCAACUCAAAUGGGUCAAGAUUAGUAAAGCAUACAUCUGGGUGUUUCUCUGGGGUUUCCAGGCAGGAUUAGCUGGGGAAAGACUUCCCCUGAGUGUGUGUAGAGGUGUUGUGUGGGCUGGGGACCCAGACGGAAUUGAAAGGAAAGGUAGAAGCCAGCGAGCUAGCACAGGCUCUCUCUGUCUCUCUCUCUCCCUCUCUUCCCCCCCUCUCUCUCUCUCUUUCUCUCUCUCUCUCUCUCUCUUCUCUCUUCUCUCUGCUUCUCUGCUCUCCAUGCCCUCUCCUCCUUGACAGAUGAACCAUGCGCAAAGUAAACCCUUCCUCCUGUCAGUAUUUUCUCCAACAUUUGCCACAGCAGUGAAAUUCUGACUAAUGCAACGUAAAACAGAUUCCCCAAGUGCCUUCAGAAGGAACAUGGCUCAACUAAUUUGAUUUUAGACUAUGAGAAAAUGACUUUGUGUUGUUUACGGCUGCCAAGCUUAUGUCUUCUGCACCGCAGCCUGAGGAAACAUACUCAGUAGCUAUCCAACGCAAAGUGUCCUCAUUUAUGAAAUGAGCUAUGAUGACCUUCCUAACCCCAUGGAAGCAUUGUGCAGAUCAGUAGAGAAAAGCUGGUGUGCAGUUGUUAUAUGUGAGAAAAUAUACCAGUGUAAAACAGGCAUCGUAGCUCACACCUGUAAUCCAAUCCCAGCACUCUGAAGGCUAAGGUGGGAGGACGGCGGCAAGUUGGAGGACAUCCUGGGCUAUAUACUACAUUCCAAGCCAACCUGGGCUACAAACAACACAGUUCACACAAGUGUAAUAUGAAAUUCUUAUUUCCUGGAACCCCUCUCAUGCCUACCUUAGCACACUAGCUACCUUCUCCGAACACUUUUUGGUUAUUUCAUUUAAUUUUUUUAUUUAAUGAAUUGCACUGGUUUUAUCUUUAAACACCCCAGAGACAGAUAAAAAGGCCAGCUCUCAGACCCAGCUUACUGUCUCGCCCUUAAUGUGCAGCUGAUACUGCACAGAGCAUUAUUUCUGAAGGACAUGAUUUGAUUUGUCUAGCUGAACAUAAAUAAUAUAUUACAUUAUAAUAGUCUGUUGUAUAUUAAUGUUUAAUAUGCUAAUGAAGUUUAAUCUCUGUAGAUUUGAAAAUAAGAUUUAUUUUAUUUAAGGUGAAAAAUACUUAAUUUAUUUUCACAUGUAUGGCUGGUUUUAUAUAUGCUGCUUACUAGAAAUCUAAUAAAUGCAUAUUUUACCAAAAUGGCUAUUUUAAUAGCAUUCCUUUGAUUAUGCUCAUCAAUAAAUUUAAUCAAUUACCUAUUCAAGCACUAGAACAAGCAUUCUAGUCCUGGUGCAACAAAAUGAUCUCUUGCAAGGAAAAAAAAAAUGACGAAUCUGAAUAGCAAGAGCCAUUAGUCACAAAGUGGAUGGGAACGAAUUUCCCCUUUGAUACCCAGCUCCUACUUAAAAUAAAACCACCACAAUGCUGUUCUUGCUGAAUUACUUCUCUGAGAAUCUUUCAGCGGUUUCCGUGCACCCUGAGGCUAACAGGGCCCUGUCACAACCCGGUGAAGCUGACGGCAGCCCUGCUUAGAGAGCAGAAUUGAGGCCAUGAAGGCUGUAAGCCAGAGCUCAGCAGUAGAACUAGGAAGAAGCCUGAGGAAGCCCACCCCAAAGCCUCCAGCCGUACCACAUGACUCUGACAUCAGCCAGCAUCCUCUUGGCAGGAGCAAGACUCAGCUGAGGGACCCCUCCGGAGCCUCUAUAAUGGCAUUUAGUGAGUCUAGAAUAAAAACACCAAACGAGCUCUUGCUUGCACGGAAUGGGUUCCUGGAAGAGGGGACAAAAGCUUUAUCUCACUUCCAAGUGGAGUUACAAUGACGUCAGCUUCAAAUGCUAUGCACUAGGAAGAUGUAAUUUUAAAUGAUGCUGCUUGAGAUCUCUGAAGAAGAAAAGAGGAGAAACAAAGUGGGACCCAGGAUCCCCGACCUGGUGUGGAUGGGUGAUGUGAGAGAUUAGGAAGAGGCACAUGUCAGUCUCAAAUUCAGUUACAGGACCAGAGCUCACUGCUCAGGCAUCUUGACAGUAAUGUAGUCCACUAAACAUUCCAGUUCUAAGAGAGAAUGGUGGGUUUUGGAACAGACUCGUGGUCCAAAGCUGGUCUUGAACUUGCUAUGUAGCUAAGGAUAAGCUUGAAGUUCUGCUUAGAAGGAAUGGGUCUUGAUCAGUAGAUAGCAAUCUCUAUAACAAGAUCACCUCAUGUUCAUCGGAAGACAUGAGGCUACUUGUUUGUAAACAGAAUCUGUCAGCACUUCACCACUUCACUUAAAAUGGCUUGAGGGAGAAACCUGUUUCUCUGGCUUUGCAUUCUUGCUUCCCUCCAGCGGCAAAUGCCACCCUCCUGCGACCCUAUCCACAGGCUCAGACUCGUCUUACCUGUACGCUGUGCAUGCAAGCCAGCGCAAAACACAAAUGAGGAACAUGUGGCUUCAAAGCAGGAAAAAUGUUCUGCUAAGCAAGAUCUGCAGGCAUUGGAUGUUCUGUCCCUCCUUCUCCACCCAGCCUCUCCCUGGGACAGUUCUCCGCCACGCCUGCCCCCUGCCGUUCAUGUGUUACUACAAUAGAUAUCGCCCCUCCACCCUCAGCCACCUGGCCUGUUUCUUCUGCUUCCAUCUGAAUUGAUGAUCGGCCCCUCAGGAACAACCUUGCUUGGAUUAGCUCUGGAAAUGUUCUGAAUUGUGAAUUAACUCGUAGGAAAUCUGCUUGCUUGAGAGAUCAAACGUUGACAUUCAUUUAAAAAAAAAUGCAUAUAACUGUGAAUUUAGAUAUUUUAGUGUUUCAUUCAUGGUUUUACAUUUUUUUCCAUAAAGGUUUUCUCAGCUUUUGUUGGUUCAUUAAAAAAACACUCUGCUGUUUUCUAUAAUCUUUCUAUUUCCUCUAGAAUAUUAUCUCCAAAUGUAUUCACAGUCAGAAAGGAAGUGCUUGUACUACACCUUGAGUUUUUGCCAAUUUAGGGAUUACUGAAUGAAUUAAUGCAACAUACAUCUGACACCAAUGUAUACAGCCAAUUGUGAAUAAUUUAAAUAGUUUAAGGAAUUCAAACAUAGUGAAUUCAAACAUAGCUUUGUCACUAGGUGGGCCCUUCUUGCUUUGUUUCCAUCCAAAGGGAAUAGUAAAUGUAUUCCCACACAGGGAGAGUUUGGCUCAUCUCUAGUAGGUUUGACCUGGCCUCAUCCCUGUUUCAAAACCUGAAUCAAGCUAGCAGCCAUGCUGCCAAAUGCUUUAUUUUUUCUUCACUUGCACUAUCUUGAGGAUGAAAGUAAGCAGAUAGAUUUUGUGACAGCUUUGUGAGAAGCAGUAUUUCUGAAAUAGGAGGUCUGGGCCAGGAAGCCCUCAUGGCUACUUGCGUCUGAAAUCACAACCUCAUAAUGAGCUCUUUGUGGAACCUGCUUAGGCGUGAUUUGUAAAUCUCCCCCAUUCUUUGAUAGCAUCGUUAUCUGUGACCUACAGAGAAUGCGCUGAGCAUACUCCUCCCCUUCUGAGUCUGUUCCACACUGUGUACCUACCCGUGUCAUGGCACUGUUCGCUCGCUUGCCAGCCCUCCGCAUCAUUUUCUCGCUCCAGAAUAUUAAAUGGAAUAUUCAGUCCUGUUCCAGGGAAGCCUAAAUUAGCCACAAAAUCCUCAGAAAAGGUAUCCAUUCAAAGGGAUUCCACAUGUGAUGAAUAGAGUGGACACUCUUGAAAUAGAGCAUGAAUCACUCUUCCUCCUCCUCCACCACCCCCACCACCACCUCUUCUUCUUCUUCCUCUUCCUCUCCCUCCUCCUCCUUCUCUUUCUCCUCCUUCUCCUUUUCCUCUUCUUCCUCCUCCUUCUCCUCUUCUUCCUCCUCCUAUUCUUCUUUCUCCUCUUCCUCCUCCUCCUCCUCCCUCCUGUAGCUGCCCCCAAACCUCCCAUCCUUCUCUAGGCACAAAUUGUGUGUUUGAAUACACAUACUCCCAGCCAUGCUCUGAAUACUAAUGACAGAAGCUAAUGUGUCUGAGCUGCCAGAAGCCAUGCAGACCAGAUUCACCAGACACUCACAAGCUUAAAACAUGGCAACACAUUUUACAGGUAGGAAACAGCCCAGGGUCACCAGCUCUCUAAGUGACAGAAUCUGGAUAUCAAGUUCUUGACCACAGCCCUGGCAGGCAUGGUAGUGAAACAUGAGUGGAAGAUUUAUUCACUACAUCUUCCCCAGGCUUAGACUCCAGCCUCCCUAUCCAAGACGUGUGCCAGUGACCGAGAGGGGGCGCUAGGCAGAGAGCCUGGGAGAUCACAGGGCAACUACAGAUAUAAAACCAGCCUUGUGCCUGGGCUGAGUCCAAUAGGAGUAUCUCAUAGGGAUGUGUUGCAAACCCUGUACAAACACUCCUAGAUUAUAAAGCAAUCUGGAUCUUGUCUGGUUUAAUGCCUCAGUUUGGACAUGGACAUUUUUCUUGAUUAACAAGCAGAACUAAGGUCACAAAUAGGCCCCUAAGAGCAAACAAGAUUGCUAUUAGUAGUCAUUGAUGAGCCCCUGACCACACUGCCCCCGAAUGGACAGUGUAUCACUUAAUAAUCCAUUUUCUACGAAGGCUCUUAACUGUAGACAUGGCUUCUCAAACUGUACCCAUUAGUUGACCAUCGAGAAAAAGGUGCCAAAGUGCUAAUUGGGAUUAAGAUACAUCCCAGUUAUGUUAACAGUGCCUGGGUGGUGUCAGAGCUCUAAAUUAUGUCCCUGCUCUACCUCUGUCUAGCCCUUUUUAGAAUAAUCAUUGAAAUCAGAGGAUGGCUGUCCCCUGGAGCACUGUUGAGCACGUGAGUGAGUCUAGAGUCACACUGAUGGACAGUCUUCUCGUUCCACUCAUAUUGGUUUGUCACAGCCACGGUUAGAUAUGGCCACAGUGUUGGUGGCUGAAAACGAAGACUGAUUUCUGUCUUAUGUGAAGGCAGAGACAUCAAGGUCAGCUUCACUGGGUUGAAAUCAAGCCGGCCAUGAGAAAGGCAGUACCUCUUCAGCAAUGAUGAAUCACACGCACGCAAACACGCACACACCCUCUUGCUACCCAGUCCUUGCUUAUGGCCACAUCAGUCCAGUGUUUUCCCAUAGUCUGUCCUCUUCUAUCUCAGCUUCUCCUCUAAGGACACUUGUGAUUGGAUUUAACAGCCACCCAUUCAGUGUCAGGGCAGUCUCCCAGUGUCCUGGUUCUAUUCCAUUACCAUAUAAGUCCUAAGUAGGGGGAGUGCUGUGUGUGAAGAGGAAUCAAAAUGACAGAAAGUUAGGACCCUGAAUUGAAGACAGAAAACUAAGACUAGCAAUGAACAGGAGAGAUUUAGUCAGAAACACGGUGAUUGUGAACUCGACGUUUAGUUGAAAUGAUUUCCUAGAAAACUACAAAUUAGGAAAAGUAUUCCAAACCCCUGAAUAAAUAAUAAUCAAAAUCGACCUCUUCCCCAAGGGAAAGAACAAGGCCAUCAUUUUACACUCAAGUUUCUCUAAGUCCUCAAAGGUGGCAUCUUUCCCUCAUGCAAACCAUUUUUUGAGAACCAAAACAGAGCAAAAGGAUAAGUUAACUCUUGAGAGCCAAGUAGAAGGCGGUAUUUAUUAACAAAAAAAAAUUGCAGGGCAGCCUCACAUAUGCUCAUAAAUGCAAAACCCUCCAUGGUCUUUGAUCGUGGAGAAAAUGCAGAUCAUGUGAUCAAAUGGCACGAGUCGUGGCCUGAAUUGGAAAGCUGGACACUCAGUGCCAGGGAGGAGUUUUCAGAAAGGCGCUGAGUAUUGUAGUAUUUGUUCCAUUAAAAUUCGCCUCCAAUGUGAUAAAAAAAUAAGCAGACUAAGACUCUGCCCUGACAGAAGGGAGUAUUGAGAUCAGACGGCUGUCGCAUGAAGUCCAGGGACCUGGUGAAGCCCAGCCUAAUUCCCCAGGACUCCUCCUCAGGAGUCAGGUGGAUAUCAGGGAUCUGCAGCAAUGUAUCAAUCAACUUCGCCUUCCAAGGAGGUAGUGCAAGCUGAAUUGUGGGAAAGGAAUUGAGAACACUCCUAGGUGGUGUCCUGCACGAGGAAUGGCCACCUGACCAGUAUGGGUUGGGAGAACCAAGUGGGAGGAUAUGACUUGUGAGACCAAAGGAGAAACCAUCAGACCUGGGAGAGUCCAGCAUAGAGAAGGUGGGGACUCGCUGAGAAUCCACACCUAGCAUUAGGGCCAGGCUCUUGGGUGCGUAGGUAGGCAGAGAGAUUUGGAAAGGGAAUCAUGAGGAGAAAAGACCAAAUCCAUGAUUCCAAUCAAAGCAAGCUGUAUUUUAUGGCGACCCUGGGAUUGGCCAGCUGGCUGUCUCUCCCUGUUGGGGUUUGAGCAAGCAGCCCCUGCUGGCCUUUUGAGGUCCAUUUUUUAGGAUAAGGUGUUCACAGAGACAAGAGAGACAGCUGUUAUGCGUUGUUAGAAAGAUACAGUGAACGAGAAGGAAGAAGGGUAAGGAUAUUAUAGAUUAUGUAAAGCAGGGCCACAAGUUUUGUGAAGGUUGCAAAACAUGUUUUACAGUUUAUAUCAGAUCUAAGAAACAGGAAUUGACUCUUAAUUAUAAACAGAAACUUGAACUUGCAUUGACUCAGCACAGGACAAACAGAUACUGUCCUUUAACAACAAACAAAACCUGCACAGGACAAACAGGAACUUCUUAACUGCAAACAGAACCCUUAACCUGCAGACUACAGUGUUCCUGUUGUGGCCUCACAAUGGGAAGCAGAGCUGUGAGCCCAGGAUGGGGCCUGAUUUCAUUGAAGGCACAGUGGAUGCUAUUAGUAAUCGCAUCUUUUGUAAAAAUCUUUCAGCUGACAGUAUACUCCAUCUGUUGAAAAAAAGAAUUCGCACCGAAAACCAACACACAUACUGAUAAAGUACUGUAAUGCAUUGAACACUAUAAGCAAUAAAUAUAUAGCUGGACCCACAUUUGCAUCAUAAAAAUGCAAAGAAAAAAAAAAGAAACCGCAAAGGGUGAUGUUGAAAGCAAGUGUGGUUUGUGAGAUCAAGGCAGUGUCGGCAGGUCCUCAGAUGAAGUCUAAAGCAGAGCAGACUUGGAACAGAUCCCCUCCUCAUGCUCCUUCCAUCCUGCUGAAGUUGAGGGGUCAUUAAUGCCCAUAUGUCAGUCCCAGUCUCUUCUGCUGCCAAGGACACAUCUAGGCGACUUCCAGAUUCAGACUGCUAUAAGUGGGCACAGAUGUGUACCCAUUCCUAUUGGAGGGAACUCUGUUUUCUGGUGAGGGAACUCCCUAACCUAUCAGAGUCCCUGGCCUAGCAUUGGUACCAAGUAGAGGAACCCCUGAUGCCUGCUGGAGGUAGGAGAGGGGGAGGCAUUCUUCAGGGAGGUGGGAAGAGGAGAGUGUGCUCUUCCUUCACCUCAUGCAGUGGUAGGAAUCCCAAUGCUGGGUUUCAGUUUCAUAUACACAGGGGGUAAACUAGAACAGGGUCCCUUUUGUUUCCCCCUCCUCUUCAGUUCCAAAUGACCAUGCUCUGGAAUUCCUGUUUUAAGAGCCUUGUGUACAAAUCGCCAUUCUCAAGGUCUCUCUUCUCCUUCCCUUACAGUCAUAUGUGUGUGUGUGUAGCACCAGUACUGACCAGAAGGCAUCAUCCAUAAGCUUGUCUCCAUGGUCAGAGCCCCAAGGCUUGGCUUUCCUACCAUAUCCUAAGCACAGCGGUCACUUUCAGCAAAGGCCAGGUACCUCUGUUCCUUCCUGGACAAUUACCCUGGUGCCUUCUGUUGGUUUCCCAAAACAGAAGCCACGUUGAUGAUCUGAGUGGUGAAUUAUCCAGUCUAAUGGCAUGGAAAUUAACAAGACGAUGUCUUGAAGCCACCAUCUGUCUCCACACCAUCUACUUGUAGAUGUUUAUCAAGCUAAGAAGCCCGCCAUAUGUGGAGCAUAUUGUCCAAAGGAGAGGAAAUACUACUUUUUUUUUCUAGAAAACUCUGGUGUUGUAUGCAAUGUUUUGUUCCCCUGUUAGUUGGCCUUCUUCUCUUGUCACAGGUAAAUCAAAUGGCUGUGUCUUGUUUAUCUCUAUUAGCUCUUCAUAACAACGAUUCCAAAUGGUUCCUGCUUAUGCAGUGUUAAGCCUCAUUCCACUAAGGAUUUAAUAACAUCUUUCAAGUCUAAUCUGUUCCUGCAUUUUUGCCUUACAUACAAGCAUGUUUUAAAAUGUCUUUUCAGGAAUGAUCUACUCAAGUUUUCUUCCUUGUGGCUUUUGUUCAAGUUUCUCUAGCUGUUUGGAGCCUGUUUGCCAUUCAUCUCCACAGUGUUCUUCUGAAAACACAGGCAAUAUUAUGCCACCUUGCAUGUGGCCAUACUUCAGCUUAUGGUCGCCUCUAAAUCAUUCACCCCAUCUCCAUCCUGUCAACCCAAGCAGAGCAUCAUCUCCUGAGCCUCCUUUUCUGGGAGUCCAAUAUCCCUUCUGAAGCUUUAUCAGUUUCCACUCCCCCAUAGCCAGCCAUGAAUCCCUGGUCUUCCUUCACCAGCCUUUAGAUUGAUCCAUGGCCCCUAGGCCCCGUGUGCACACCAUGGCCAACAGAAUGCUAUGCCUGCAGUUGCCAGUGCUCCUGCCAGUGCUCCUGCCAGUGCUCCUGCCAGUGCUCCUGCCAGUGCUCCUGCCAGUGCUCCUGCCAGUGCCCCUGCCAGUGCCCCUGCCAGUGCUCCUGCCAGUGCCCCUGCCAGUGCUCCUGCCAGUGCUCCUGCCAGUGCUCCUGCCAGUGCUCCUGCCACAACUGAGAGGAAGCGUGGAAUGCUAUGCUUAGGAAAACGGUUCACAUACGCACACAUGCACACCAGUUUUUUAAAAACAGAAAAGUAAGGGAGUCUACCAGAUGAUGCUAAGACACUUGCAUCUACCGCCCUCUUCUCCUACUCUUAAUCUUCGUGGCAACACCAUCAUACAGGCGUAUGUCCAGCCCCAAGUUAAAGAAAGGUGACUUACACUUCAGUACUCAGGUUUCCACUCUGGCUUCUUCAGCUGUGUUCUCCUUGCCAAGAACUGUCAUGUGGCAAUUCUUCUUGCCAUUUCUACUGUGACAUGGUCUCUGAACUUCUCCCAGACACUCCUGUCUCCUUGUUCACCAUAUCCAGGAUGUCAAAAUUUCCCUAAGUUCAGUUUUAAUUACAUGUUUCCCCUCUCCCAAUAUCAGUAGCUAUCUGUAUUCCUUCAAAGGGAAAUAAGCACUGUCUUAGGACAUCGGUGAAAGUCUUUGACAAUAUAAGUGGAAUUUUCUCCCUUUAGGUCAUCAGUUCUCAACUUGUAGGUCUAGACCCCCUUGGGUUCUACAUAUCAGAUAUUUACAUUACAAUUCAUAACAGUAGCAAAAUUAUGUUUAUAAAGUUGCAAUGAAAUUAUUUUAUGGUUGGGAGUCGCCAUGACAUGAGGAACUGUAGUAAAGGGUCACAGCAUUAGGAAGGUUGAGAACCACUGCUUUAGAUAUUUUUCUCUCACGCAUAUUCUGCUGUUCUCCAUGAAUCUUUUAUUCAUGUUUCCUUGCCUCAGGGAAGCCGCCACCCUGAAGCCCCACAUGUCCUGCAAAACUCAGCCCUCACUGGCUUCUCCCCUGGGUCCUUCUAUAACAACCAGAGUAGUGGUGAACUCACACCUUCAUUAAGAUGCAUUUACUGCCCACCACCAGAAGUGCCAUUGUGCCUCCUGCUUCCCAUGAUGCACAGUAAUGUCUCCUCCAUGCCAGAGAUUUGCUCAUUUCCAUUGCUCCGUUAGUCUCACUGUAAAUUUGAAAUCAGGCAGAAAGCUUACUCUUGGGAAUAAAGGUUGUCUGCUCUCUGCAGUCUAUCUGCAGGCAUGCGAGAAAAUUGCUGUCACAGAUCGUAGUAAUAUGUGAGGGAGUUAAUCUGAUCAAGUGACUUUUGUCUUUUUUUUUUUUCCUUGUAUAGGUUUCUUUCUUUUUGUCCCCCAUUUUGUUUUUAGAGACAGAGUCUGUACUCUUCAGUGCAGGUUAGACUGGAACUUAACUCUGCAGCCUCAGCCUUGUAAUAGCAAUCCUCCUGCCUCAGCCUCCCAAGUGCUGAACUGCCAGUAUACAGUACCAAGCCUGGCUUCCUUUCCUUCUUUACUGCUGCAGCUUGGCAGCCUCCGUGUGUGCAGAUCCUGUAGCUGUCUCCUGUGAAGGCCCGUCUCUUACCUGUCCACUGUACUUAAGACAGUGCCUGCUACCUACUACAUGCUCUGUGAACAUUUCUACACUUUUCUCUCAGCAUACAACUCACUUAAGAUUUGAUAUGGAAAGGUGCACAUCCAAUGCGAGAUUCCAUUGCAAAGUGUCACCUGGAGGUUGGUUUAAAUGUAUGCAAGUCAAAAUGUCCAGCCCUGGUUAGCGUCUCGCAUGGAGGACAAUGCUGUUCUGGCCCAGGAGAGCUGUGUCUAACUGAGCUGACACCAUUCCCUUUAAAAUGCUGCUUUUAGGGAGACUAGGGCAACAGCACUCAAAAUCCAUACCUCCUCCCUAAGAGUAGAGGGGUAGCACCCCAACAUUUGCAGCAGGGCUCCCCAAAGGUGGGAAGGAAUUACCUCUCUGGCUCUUUCUCUCUGGCUCUAGUUUCUUGUGUCUGUAUUUUAACAGAACAUAAAAGCCUACGCAGCACCAGGAGCCCUCAGUGAGAUCAUCUCACUGGCAACUUGAAUUGGGUCUCUGCCGGCUGCUUCUCACCUGACUGCUAUGCCACACCCAGGUGUCCCCUAGAGAGGAGAAUGUCUCCUGGAACAUCUGUGUAGAAAUUGUCCCCAAUGUUGGCUCAGGAAGGAGAGAAUGGUUCCUAGCCUUCCACAACUGCAGGCAGGCACCUUUCCCUCCCCCACAUUCCUGUUCCUGUUUCCAUGGCCCAGGCUGCUUGGGUCUUCUGCCAUCCCUGACCACCUCCUUUCUGCAGCAGAGGCAGCAGGACCUGCUUCCUCCAGAGGUCAGCAUGGCUGAGAGGGCCUGGAGCCCUUUUCCCAGGUCUCUGCCCCAGAAGCUAGACUCACUCCUUCAUCCUUCUGACACAGGGCUUUAUGCAGGUCUUGUUCUGCACUCUGUGAACUCCAAAAGGCCUUCUCUGAGUCCGUCUGGCCUCAUCCCCCUUCGCUGAUAAACUUCUAGAAAACACUGUCUUCUCUGGAAAGCUGCUUUCUUCCUUUUCCAUUCGCCUCAUAAAUGUUUCCCUGAAGCUCCUCUCACAAAGCUGUCAGCACCUCCUUGUCCCCAAGUUUUUUUCUUCCUUCCUUGCUACCUGUGUGAUUCCUCUUCACAUCCUAACCCACAGUGGGGUGACUCUGCUCUUUCUCUGUCCUCUGGCCUACUAAGCAUCAGCUACUAACAACUCUGCAGCCCUCACAACAUCCAGAACGUGUUGGCCCUCCCUCACACCAGUCUGGGAUCCCUAUCACAUGCCCACUGCCACUGUGCAGACCCUGGGCCUCCUUCUCUCCUGGGUCUGGUCAUUUUCUUUUACCUACUGGAAAGCUGAAUCUGAUCUCCAUUUCUCUCUCUGACUCCAGGAUAUCCAGACUCCUCCUACCCAAGAUGUCCCCGUUCUUUCUGCCUAUCUCCCUAAGUACGCAGAGGCCCACCCCCACACUCUCUAAGAAGUGAGUUAGUUAUGUGUCUCCCUUUCUGAUCCUCUUCCUGGUUUCAACCCACAAACUGACAGUGUUCCUGAGGCCACUGGCUUUCCAGAUACACCUACCAUCUUGUGGUAAUGGAGAUCGCCCACGUCUUCAUGACACUAGACAGGUUAAUGUGUGCCUGCCGUGAGCAAGCUAUGUCAGAAACAUAGGUCGACAUACACAUGCCUUUCAGGGAUUAUUUUGGAGUUCAUUGAAGGGCAACUAAACUCUCAAGCCACAUCAGUGUCAUUUUUCUUUAAUCUUCCAGGUAUUUUGAUUUCGUUUGAUAUUCCUAUCAUUGACAAACACAGGUUCUUUAUUCGGUCUUAAUUGAUAUUAAGAACUCUCAGACCUCAUAUUACAUUUUGCAUGAUGAUACCUAGACUGCAGGAUAGGGUUAAAGCAGAGCAGUGCAAGGACCCUCCUGAAGAAGACAAAGACUGAAAGAUGGCAGAGAUGCUAAGAGAGUCCCUGCAGGUAGUUAUGUGUGAACAGAGAGACCCAGCUGCGGGCUGUCGAGGUGCAGGGCUGAUUCAAAACGCCAAGCUGCUUAAAAGUGUAGCACUGGCUCCAGACACAGAGCUGGAUCCCAGAAGGAUGGCUGUUCAGUGGGCUGCAUGAAGCUGUGGUGACACACUGAGUUAGCUCAGGGACAGAGGCAGGAGUCCAUCACCUGUCAAUCUCGUGAUGCAGAUGGCAGAUGGUCUAACAGCAGUGGUCCCACAAUGGGCAGUAGGUACCUCCAGACCUUGUUGGUGAUGCAAAGGAGGCUUGCAGCAUCCUCUGGUCCGCUGUAUUCAGGGAACCACACAACCUGGUUUUCCUGAUGCGGUUUUGAUACACCCAUGCAUCCACGAGCUCCUGAUUGAAUUUGGAAAGUUGAUAGGUGGUAAUACUUUGUUAUCCAUCAUAGUUCAUGCUGGGCAGAAUGUUGUUCCCUUGCACAAACAUGAGGCACUAUGUCAUUAUUUCUACUCAAACAGGAGCAAACUGCUACUUUAUUUAACUGAGCCGUUCUGGACCAGGGACCUCUGAGAACCCUCACAACUGCUGUUCUGAGCCUUAUGGAGCACUUUACACACAGUCCAACCUGCCCACCACAGCACCUCAGUUUUACCAUCUCUUAAAAAGGUUAACAACAAUAGCUACCCAGUAAAUCCUGAGGUCCAUGUCAGUGGGUGGCACUGGGAGGACGCUGGAGCAUUGCAGGCACAAACCCAUCCUUACCAGGCCACUUGGGUCAAGUCUCCAACUAGCUACAGCCUCCCCUCACAGACGUGUCCCUCUGGGUGGCCAGCGCUCCUCAGAGCACUCCUGUCCUUCACUGCCUCUCCAUUUCUCUGUCUCGCCCCACUUCCUGUCUGUUUCCCACCAGCUGGACCUCAAGGUCAACUCAAUACCACCUUCUCGAGGAGUUGCUUCAGGCUCCAGUCAGCCUCCUCUCACCCCACAAAAAGGAUUUUAAAAAUCGGAACUCACUCUCUCUGUGUGUUUCUACUAGCACUCAGGAUACAGUUCCAAUCUGUACUCCUAACAUCACACUGUCCUUUCUCCUCUGUGUAGGUGACCUUGAUAAUUGUGCCAGGGGUUCCCCACCUCACCCCUCUCUAGUUUAGUGACUGGCAUGGAGCAGGCAGUAAACAUAUUGGCUACAUUUAUAUUUCUCAUAAUGAAUUUAAUGAAAAUCAUGACCAAAGAAAAUAUUUAUUACCCAUGAUUUUUAUUAUAUCAGUAUCAGUUUAGUAUUCAUUCUGCCCCAGAAGUUUAAAAAACCUAUUUCAGAUCUUCUCUUUAAAAUAAUGAUUUUUGAAAGUAAAUUUCUUAAGAUUGAAAUUUAUCAAACUGUUUUGUUCUUUCAAAUUUCUAUUUCCCAAGGAAAUAAAAGUCAUGAGAACUGAAAAAUGCUCACUGUCCUUUAACGACAGCACCAGUGUGGUAACUACUUUGGACUUGUAUUUGUAAGGAGAGAGACAGCGCCUUUAUCUGGGAGCCGUGUUUGCUGGAGCUGGCGCCCCCCAUCUUCCUCCAGAACAAAUGUUUGUUGUACCGCUUUUUGCUUUUUGUUUUGUUUUUGUUUUUGUUUUAAUUCCUUGCUCUUUAGACUAUUGCUUGAAAUCUUACGUUUUUUUAAUGUGUUGCCAGGUAGAAAAGCGAUAACAAAUUCCGUCGCAUAGAGUGGCCUGCCCUCCUCCCUCCCUCUGCCAUCCUAGUCAACAGACUUUUGUUCCAGGACUGAAAAAGACAGCCUCCCACUAAACAAAUAAGCUCUCCAGAGGGUGUGUUGUUCUCAGGUUUUCCUGUGAAUUUACCACGAGUCUCUGCUGUGGUAUGGAAUGUCACAGGAGGGUUUUUUUUCCUCCCUCAAGAAAAAAAUAAAAUGUGCAAAAAGGCUGGUUUUCUUUUCCAGCCGUGAUUCCUCUGCCUCUAUUCAAGCCAGCACCAGCGUUUGUGGAUGUCGGAAGGAAAAGGCUCAUUUGAAAACGCACAUCUACACUCCAAGCCUGCCCACUCGCACUGUUCUGUGGUGAAGGAGAAUUUCCACUGAGCUUGUUCUCCACCUGAACUCAGAUAUUACCAAAGCUGUAUUUUCACAGCAGAGUAUAAAAUAAAAGCAAUGUGUAAGAAAUUCCUAGGCCUGUUCUCCAAUGCUCCUAAUAAAUGCUUAGAAAGCCACAUUUAUACUUUGAAGCCCUUGGCAUCUGCCCUGAAUGUGUCCUGAAGCCCACCGUCUUUCUUCUUUAAUUUCAGUUUAUUUGGUUUAAUGAUAGUUACUGAACAUAAAUGCCAAAUUACGAUGGCACUUUCCAGCUGUGUGUGGAACUUUAUAUUUUAAGUACCAAUUUGUGAAGAAAGAACACUUCCAGCUCAGUUCUCAUCAGCAUUAGAGGUUUCAGCAAUUACCAAUUAUUUUUCUAAAUUACCUAUUUUAAUUAAGUAAAAUAUUAUGAAUUUAAGAUUAUGAAGUGUUCAAGCAUUAUUUCAUCUUUAGCUAAUUACCAAGAAAAAGGAAACAUAUUUGGGGACCUUGUGUGGCUAUUUGUGGAGCGAAGUGCUUUCUCUGUGGCUUCGGGGCCUUUGUUUAAGAGAAGCAGUAAAAUCCCUUCCUUAGGUCUGUUACCUAUGUGGUCCCUGCAGAGGACAGCCUGAGCUCAAUGUUGGUUCUAGUAUGAUGUAAUAUGGUUUAUAUAUAGAUGCUUGGGAUGGUAAUGGUAAUGGCCACUUGGCCAUUGGAAUUUAUCCCAGCUCCUCAGGGGCAUUCUCAGAGGGCUAGUGUCAUUGGCCCACUCCCUGAAGUAGACCCAUGCCCAGACAUUAGAAAAAAAGCUAGUUGCACCUGCAGACAUGACCACAUCAGGGUUCACCUUUGACAUCGCCAUCCCUAACUUGAUGGUGGGUGAGCAUCCUACUCCUCCUUGCAGGACCCCAUAUAGAAACAAGGAAAGCCGAAGAAGCCUGCUCCAAAGUUUCAUCUGCAGGAAGGUGUCCAGCACCAUUGGCAACUGGCACCAACAACAUGACUUUGAAAAACAAUGGCUUCAUGCAGACUGACAGCCCAACAAUGUUAUUUCCAGGCAGAAGUCACAACUGUCUUCCGCCAGUGUGUCCCUUGGCAUUCCUCCCCUUGAAUGUGGCCCAUUUGUGCUUAGGUCCGUGUAAGGCAGAGGUCAAGCAGGACUCCUGCUGGGCUGUGGCAGUGAGUGCCAGUAUCCUCAGCCUCGUGAAAUAAUCAUGCAGUCUUGAUGAGGUUGUUAGAGGAUGAUAAAGGGAAAUGGAGACAGUUUGUGACAUUUAUGGACACAUUUCUACUUAGAAUAACUUGUGUGUCUGCUUAGAUGCUGGCUAGAAACUCCCGCUGUGAGGAACGGCCGCCUGGCUUUUUACUCUUCAGAUUGAGGUUUAGCUUUUAAGCCAAAAGUGUCAUCAAGAAUCCCUAUGCCUGUGACCACCAGGGCAGGUGUGGCUGCCAGGCCUGGGUCUGCAGCUGAAAGAUGCCCAGGGCUGAUAAGGAGCUGGUUGGGGUGGGGGGUGGGGAGAGGUAGAGAAAAAGACCCUUUUAUUGGUUUUGUUUCAUUCAUCCACGUGAUUCUGGAAAUCCACUUGGAAAAUUGUCCUGAUGGGUAUUUUAACUGAAACGCUACUUUUAGAGUUGUUUUCCAAUCUAUUCAGCAAGCAAUUUUAGGUAAUAUGUUUUAAAAUACAAAAGAAAUGAAUUUUGCCAUUGUUUCCAACAUAAUCAUAAGAACUCUUGGAGUUUCUAAAGUGGGAGUCUUCUACAUCGUUUAGAUCUGUGGCACUUGACAAUUCGAAGCAUCCAAAAUGAUAUAGGCAAACUGGAUGGAUGGCCCAAUUACAUGCAAUGGAAGUCAAUAAAGAUAAACGCAAGCCACUGUCUUGAAUGGUAAUAAUCCCGUAAAUAAAAGAUAAGAAAGAAAACCAAUUAGACUUCAGCAUGGUGAAAAGAUGAAGAGGUUUUGAUGAGAGAAAACAGAGUACAGUCAGGAAAAUAGCCGAUCGUUUUAUGGCUUAGCAACCCAAUUGCUACUGAGUGUAAGAUGCAUGGAGCUAACCCCACCUCAGACAGCACGGUUCUCGGCCACACCAUGGGGCUCCACAGGCCAAACACAACCUGGACAGAUGAGGUGAACGAUUCCAAGCAAUGGUCAGAAGACAAAGAGCAUAAGACCUACUCAGGGAGCCAAUGCAACUUUGACCCAGUGAUGCUGUGUCUCCAAAAGGAGGUGACCAUUUGAGGGGAUAUGCAGAAGGAACACUCUGAUGUUAACCCUUCCAAGUCCUCUCUGGGAUACCUAGAUCCAGGCCAACGUAAAUGGCAGCACCCUUAGCAGUCAGCCCUGGCACAGGCUUAUGGGAGGAGAGAGGCCAGAGAGAAAGCAUGUCUGCAGCCAGGAUGGCAUUGUGGCAGAAUUAGGCAUAAACACCAGGUCUGUUCAGGCAGCUCAGGGCGGCGCUCUGACGGUUCCAGCCACGGUAGUUCACCGGCAAUCACCAGAUCCCACAUCUAGAUCUGCCUCUCGGUUACAUGCUGUCCAGCCACUUUCCCAAGUAAAUAGUCAAAGUACCCUGUUAAUGUGAAUUCUGGAUGAAGAGUAAAUAUAAGUUUUCCGUAUAUACCAUGCAAACUUUGAAAUUUUUAUAUUAAAACAUUUUUGCCAUUUUCCUGUGUUUUGUUUAGUGGUGCUGGGAUCGCAUGAGGACAAGCGAUCUACCACUGAGCGACAGCUCCUGCCAUUGCUAUUGAUUCUUCACUUACAGUUAACUGUACACCUGCACUUCAUGUGUCAACCACAGUAGUAAACUCAUGUUUUGCAUGGCCAUGACCCAUGUUCUACAGUCCUACAUGUGUCAAGCUACUGCCCUCAACAAAGGCUCAACGUUUGCUAGAAACUAGGUGCAUGGAUGCUCUUAAGUGCCCUGGAAGUAGCUAGCAUACACGUGUACACACACACACACACACACAUUCACAGGACUUUUACAUUUUCUCCCAAUCCACCCUCACUGUGAUGCCCUGAUCAUGGGACUCCUGUGCACCGGAUUACCUUACUCCGGUCUCCCUUCCCAACCAUUUUGGUUGAUUUUCCAUUGUUGUCGUCUAACAGAUUUACAAAGCACAUGGCCUCAAACAGAACCCUUGUGUUGUCCUCAGACUCUGGAGCCCAGCUGUCCAGAGCAGGCCUGAGUGUGUUAAAAUCACAGGCCUCCAGAGUGGUGCUCCUUUCUAUAAUCCCUGUGUGAAGGUGCACAUCCUUGCCUGGCCUUGCAUCCGUCCCCUACACAGUCCUUCCCUGCUGCUGCAGAGCUGGCCGUAGGACAGCCUUCAGACACUUUUGCUUUCAUCGAUUAUAAGACUCAUGGUAAUUACAGUAGAGUGUCCCAGAUGGCAGAGGCCUUCAGCAUCUCAAGACCAUGAUAUUCAUAGGAAUGUAGUCCCCUCUGCCACAUAUGUGCCAUGUUCAUGGACUCCAGGAAUUAGGCCAGGGGCUUGCAUGUAGAGGAAGAGAAAUGAUUCUGACUGGCACCCCGUUACUAGAGUGGUCUUUCUAAUACACAUCUUACCCUGCUGCCCUUAUUUACUAACUUCUGCUACAGAAUCUGGUGUUGCAGGGUCCGCAUCUUCUGUGUCACAGCCUAUAGCAUCACCACUUAGAAAAGCACUCCCAUUUAUUUGUCCCAUGACACCAUGACAUCAUGACAACACGGGCUGUAGGCUGGUGUGUAACUUUGUCUCCAGCCAGUGUCCAGCCUUUGGGCAGCUUUGCUAGAGGUGAGACUGUGCACUCUCUGCUCGGUGCCAGUUCUGUCUGUCAGUGCCUCUGUCUUCUGUCUUCUCCUCCACUUCACUGUACCUUAUUGAUCAGCCUGGCAGAGGUCCCUCCCAUGGGAAGGCGAGCCCUCAGGAGCAGCCUGUACUGUGACUGGACCCCAGCCUUUGGUGCAGUUACUGCAAAUGUCAGCUGUCAGUGAAGGAAGGAGUGCAGAACGCAGAGAUGCUGCCCUGACAAAGAUGCCCCUGCCCUUCCUCCAACAAUACAGACCAGUCAUCUGAAAGUUCGGUAAACUACCGUCUCUCCUAAUAAAGAGAAAAGACACAGGCCAACUCUUUAGUUACACAGCCCACCGGAUAGUGAAAAGAAAAAAAAAAAAAAACCCACAGCCCUCCAUCAGCCCCUGUGCUCUGUCUCUCCUCAUCAUUUGGGCCACUUUAUGCUUUUGCCAUGUCAGCUCUUCCUGGGUAUCAAACGACACACGGAGAUGGGACCAAAGGAAUACAACGUGCUCCUCCGUUGACAACUAAAAGGUGUUGGUAGUCACAAAGACUGACCUAAGAGCUCCUGGAAACAAUCUCAGAUUCUAGAAAAGGCUGGACAAAACACUAAGAGUGUUCACACCUAGAGCUCUGUGGAUACCGUUGUCUGGGUUCCUCGCCUGGGCGCAAUGGUGUCCGUAAAGGUAUCGGCGUGGACACUCUCUGUUUUGUGCUCUUGCUAUCCUCCACAGCACAUCUGGAGGAGAAACAUGAAGCCCUGUGUAAUGGAGAAGCCCUAGCUAGCCUCAGCCCGGGCCCCUCCAUCAGCAGAGUGGAACAGUGGCUGUGUGGGAGCAGCUAGAGUGGAGAAUUAGAGCCGAUCCAGGGGAGCCAGUUGGUGGAGGAGGGGAGGGGGAGGGUUUCUGGAGGAGCUGCCUGCCUGGCUGACCUGGACUGCCGAGCCCCUUCCACCCAUCAUUAUUUGUACCUUCCUACUGGAAUGAGCUAUUUGAGCCAAGGAACCCUUAAAGAUCAAAGCCCCCAUUUUUAUGCAAAUAGCCAAGAGCCAUAAAACCAGAGAGUGAGGAGUCAGGAAUACAAAUUACAGCUGGAAGUGUCUCCACAAAAGUUACAGGAAGCCUGCUUGUUAUUCAGAAUUUAACUUCUGGCAAUGACGGCUUUCUAAACUUGUGUUUAAAAUUGUUUCUAAAUGAGGAGCGAUAAAAGAGACUUGACCAGAACCUCGUUGCCUAACUAAGGCACCAUAGUAUUUAGGCAACGUAAAUAUGCGAUUCUGAAUUACAUCUUAUUAGGAAGUACUACCACCUGGAUGUACGGUACCUUGAAGCUGAAAGUGGGACCCUGUCUCCAUUUUUGGCUUAGACGUCCAUUUUGCAGCCACAGUUGAGCAGAGGGUCUACACAAGAAACCACACCCAGCUCCUCCCUGGACACACUGUUCUUCAUGUCCCUUGGAGGCAAAGCAUUCCAAAGCCAAAAGCCUGGGCCUUGGACCCCUGUGUGACCUCAGGCAAUUUGGUGAACGUCUCUGAGCCCCUUUGGUUAUUGUGUGCUGUGGGGAGGGUCUCAUGGUAGGUUUGUUGCCUUUGUGUGCUUGUGUGCUGUGUGUGUUCAUGUGUGUGAGUCUGAGCGUGGGCAUCAGAGGACAACCUCGUGUGUCCCCUCAUCUGCCCCUUUGUUUAGAGACUAUGUCUUCUCCUUCGCCUCUGUGUUCAGCCUGCUAGCUGGCUCACCAACUUUCAUGGGUUUUCCUGUCUCUGCCUCCUAUCUUGCUGAGCAAGGCUGCCAGGCUACCCCCUUCUCACCUCUGUGGCCAAUGUCUUCCCCAUUGAGCCAUCUCCCCAGCCCAGGAUACAUUUUCUAAGGGGUUUAACUUUCACAUCUCUCUGGCAUUUGGGUGGAGUUUUUAAUCCUGUUAUUUUCCUCUAUAAAAAGUUAAGAACUGUAUAUACCCAAAGAAGAAGCUUCCUAUAAUUGCAUCUGUGUGGUUUUUUGACUGUCUAGGGAAAGCAUUCUGGACACAGUCCCACAUUACAGAUCUCAGUCCUUGCCAUUCAGUCCCUCGCCGCUUCUAUCUCCCUCUGCCUUGUGGUCAGUGUUCAACACAAUGCACAUUCUGUUAUGUUCCUUCCAUAAAUUAUCUUAUUUGCUUUCGUAAGGUCAGUGGUGACACUGAUCAAAUUAUUUAGCCUCCCUGGGUUUUUCUGCAAAACCAAGAGUAUUAACUGUUCUCUGGAGUUGCUUCAUCAGCAAUAUUCUAGAGAAAUGCUCUUCCAGAGAGAGAGAUCCUAGCCUUUUCCCAGCAGUAUUGAAUACUUCCCUCCCUCUUCUGGUGCCUCCAUCCCUGGUCUAUCAUAGAGGUUUCUAUUCUGUCUUUUCAUCCCCACCCACCCUGACCUCUCUCAGGGUCAGCCCUGCUUGGUCCUGCAAGGGUUUGGUGCAGCCUUUAUAUAUCUUUAAUUAUUUCUCACGGCAACUUUGUCUAAAAGCCAUCGUUAUUAGAUUAGGAGCCACAAAUAAAGAAAUCACUGUGCAUCUAUGAACCCUCUGCCUGAUUUUGAUGGGCCGUCAUUGAGCAACAGUGUCACCUGACGAUGUUUCUGACUUUGACAGCAUCACACUUCUAGAAAACUUACUAAAGAUUCUGCAGCUAUUUUAAAAAUCAGGAAACUAUCAUGAAAAUAUAUCUUAAUAACAAAAAUUCAUCUCCUUCAAGACCACCCAGACUAAAUAAUAACUUCCCACUUGGCACACAGUCUGCCUCUACAUUGCCUUGUGUGCCAGAGAUAUUUAAUUUACCACAGAACAAGCACAAAUAUAUUUGUAUUCAUUUUCAUGCCGAGUUUCACAAGUCACCAGGACUUAAAAUAAUGGAGGUCCUGACCUGCAGGUGAAUAAUUUCUUUUUUCUACUUCCAUACGCUGUACUCAUGAAAAUACCUUGAUUAAUUAAUAAAUGGCAAGGCUUUGUACUAAAUCUUAGCCAAAUCGCUGUUUUGUAGAAGCUUGAAUUGCCCACACACAGUAUUGACAUCACAAGGGAAAGAUGGGUGUUUUAAUGAUUAAGUUAAACAGUUAUUUCACCCAUAACUCCAUUCUCCUUCCAGUUUCCAACCCCAAUUCAGAGUCACUGAACCUGAAAGCUGCUGGGAAGAAUCUACGUGCUCAGCGUAAUUUCCCCUCAGUGCCUAUGGGACACACCUCCUUCUUUGGAGGACUUUCCAGCACAAUCCUAUCUUACUUUCCUUCCCUCCCCAUUAGACAUCUGAGUGUCCUGCCAGGGCUCAUCUUCCUGGCCCACCUUGCUUCUUCCCCAGCACUCAGUACAGAUGAGGCCACGGAAGCACUGCUAACCUCAGAGCUGCAAAGGAAAGGCGGGUCUCUCCCUGAUCCUCUAGCUCUCUUGGUCUUUACACCCCAUCUUCUGCAAUGUUCUCGGAGCCUUAGGUGCAAUGGUGUUAUGUAGAUGUAGCCACUGGAACUAGGCUCUACACCUCUGCAAUUUGAUACCUGGUUGUAGUCUUCUGUAAUGGUCUUUGUCUGUUGCAAAUAGAAGUUUCCUUGAUAGGGGAGGGCACUACACUUACCUGUGGGUAUAAGGAUGAAUAAUUAGAAUGUAAUUAGGGAUUAUGACAGUCUGAUCUCUUUUUUAUGACUUUUGCUUUUAGGUUUAUUUACUUUCAAUUUUUCAUGCACUGGCUGUACUGUUUCUGGGUUUUGCUUGAUUUUUUUUUCUUGACCUUUUUUUUCCCAGUUAACUCAGGCCCUUGAAAAAAAUUGUGUGUUGGGAAACACAGAUGGAUACACUCAUCCGUGAAAACAGAAUAGAUUCCUUCCUAUGGGUCUAUACAUGUAACCAGUUCAUUAACAACAACUUCAUAGUUUGUAUUUGCAUGGACUUGUAUAUUUUGUAGAUUUGUGUAAAUAUAUCUGAACAAUACCAUCUUAAAAAAUAGGAUGACCAUUUAUCUUAGUAUCAUCCCUGGCCCAUCAGUGCCCUCAUGGGUAAGACGUCGGUUAGCAAGAUCUGCAUCUUAUUCUCUAAUUUGCCUUGGAUGUCCUCUGACACCAAGUGAGUGAGAUGCCUCUGAGACUAAUAGCUAGUACUGCCUUGAAUGCCAUCAAAAGGAGUCAUCAAAAGCUACACGAGACUCAAAUACCAAGCACUACUCCAUUGGAACUCAGAAAGAAAUAGAAAAUGAAGACAUGUGUUUGUUUUGGCCAUAAGAGUUAUAUCUCCUCUAAUGGCGGAAUGAAAUUAUAAGGAAGUCAGUUGAUUGCAACAGGCUGCCAGAGAGCAUUUCCCUGGAGGGUCAAGCCCGAGUCCCUGGAAGAAGUGGAAAGUUCCAUCAAUAGUAAAGGUUUCUUGUGCUGGAAUCUCUAUCACAUGGGCUGAACCAAGGGAAAGCUGGGGCACACUGGCCAGCUGCUGGGGUCCAUCCCCCACAGGAGAGCCACAUCUUGGCAGGUGGUGACCUACAGAAAGGAACCUCAGCUGGUAAAGGGCAGUUAGGAAGAAGCAAAGGAUGAUGUUGGAAAUCUGGCCUUGGUUUCAGUGUGGCUCCAGAUAUGUUCAGACUUUAAUAGGACCCUUGUUCUCAGUCCUAAAGGCACGUUGCAGUCACAUGCGAAAUGUUCAAAGUUCUGCGACUGACUUUUGUUCCCCAAUCCCUGUCAAAUGCCUCCUGAUAACCCGAGUCUCCUGCGUUCACAACACAGUCUUUUCAGCUCUUGCUCAGCCUCUGCCAAUCCCCUCCUCUUCUGCUCUCCUUCUGGUCCCACAAGAGAAGAGACGUGGCUACCAGAGGAGUAGGCAGUGCUGAUCUCCUUAGGUCCUUAGGUCAGGCAUGCUACCAGAGCUGAGGCUCCCUCACUGGCUGACCCACAGACAUCCAGGGUGCCAUCUGAAGCUCGGCCUGCUGUGGACACUGACAAAGCCUCCUGGGUGUUGCUAGCAUGCAUCCCAGGCUAAGAUCCAGGCAGCAGGACUAUCAAGGCAAGGUGCCUGGGGCCAGAUCCCAGCACUAGCCAGAGUUAGACAGCAGUCAGGCAGGAAAGGGCUUUCUCCAACACAGAUUCUGAUACUUGGGGUUCAGAGGUGAUAGAGAUUCGAUAGCCAGCAGGUGGGUUGCAGGAAGCCAGCACCAAGGCAAGAUUCACUGGGCCUCCAAGGUUAUCCAUCAAACUCAGCCUUGACCCAGUUUCCCUAAGACAUGAGCACAACUCCACCCACACAUGCAGCACAUCAGCGACUCAAACAAGGGACGUAAGGAAUAAGGGCCCUUUGCUUCCUGCUUGUGCAAUAAUUGGAUCUUCCCUGGACACACUCGCCAGCCACUGUGUGGCUCACGGUUCCCACCCAGGGAUUUUCAGCCAUUCCCACACCCUCUUGCAGUCCAACUACUUUCUCAUCAGCUCCAGCUCUCAGCUAGCUCUAAAUGCUGGGGGGUUCUUGGUAUAAAAAUAUUACUCCCUGUGCUUUCUUUUGCUGUUAUGCUAAACUUCACUUUCCCAUUUAUAAAGUUAGAACUGGAUAGCUCAAAAAAUGUUCUAGUAUCAUAGUAAAUGUUACAUUUUAUAAGAGAGUUUAUACCAAAAUAGAUGUGGGCCUUCAGCCUGAAUUCCCCUUGGUGUAAGCAGUAGCUUUUAUGGUAAAGUGCAAGAGUUGGUAAAUAAUUACAAAACUAAAAUUUCAAAGGAAAACAGAAUUUAUAGACAUGGGCUGUUCUUUGAAACUUAUGCUACUAUAUUUUAGUGUUAAAUAGAUUCUGUGACUUAGUUUUUAAGUUGCCAUGAAUCUAACACCGCCCUUCCCAGAGGAGCAGAAAGUACUUAAGUGGGCAGUGUUUCAGAAAGGUCCUUCUCCUAUUCCUUUUCUCGUGCCUAAUUAAAUUCCAGACCAAAAGAGUUGGGUUUUACAGAAAAAGAAAACAUGUAAAUACACAUUUAUGACAAUACCUAACGCCAUACUGCCAGAAGAUAACUGGGAGGCAAGAAUUGAGUCACAGGGACAAAAUAGUGUUUGUUUAUGCUUGCUCCACAGUUACCUUAAUCCUCAAACCCUUCCACAUGUCUCAGUCAAGUGUAGCAGCUUGGUCCUCACAGCUUCAGCUUCCUCCUGCUGCCAUUUUCUCUCCUGUUCCCAGUAGUAAAGACGUGCCCUGUGAACCGACCACGCCAUCUCAGUCUUGCUGCCCAGUGUGACACUGCCUUGACUACUGGCCGAGCCUGAGUCCAGCUCCUGGUCUCU
Molecule: long non-coding RNA, 39997 nt
Organism: Mus musculus (house mouse)
Lineage: Eukaryota; Metazoa; Chordata; Mammalia; Rodentia; Muridae
Product: predicted gene, 52294
Exons: 2
Source: RefSeq, a predicted model, not a curated record